UACAGAGGUCCCAAGCGUUGUUCGGAUUUAUUGGGCGUAAAGAGCGUGUAGGCGGCCAUGUAGGUCCGGUGUGAAAACUCGAGGCUUAACCUCGAGAUGUCAUCGGAAACCAUUUGGCUAGAGUCCGGAAGAGGAGAGUGGAAUUCCUGGUGUAGCGGUGAAAUGCGCAGAUAUCAGGAAGAACACCAAUGGCGAAAGCAGCUCUCUGGGACGGUACUGACGCUGAGACGCGAAAGCGUGGGGAGCGAACAGG
Molecule: ribosomal RNA, 253 nt
Filed under: uncultured bacterium
Lineage: Bacteria
Description: partial 16S ribosomal RNA
Rfam family: Bacterial small subunit ribosomal RNA
Source: RNAcentral